This 775-nucleotide long non-coding RNA is filed under the name Olea europaea subsp. europaea. Lineage: Eukaryota; Viridiplantae; Streptophyta; Magnoliopsida; Lamiales; Oleaceae. The record is from RNAcentral.
CGCCAUUGUUGCAGUCCCAUAAACAAGAACGCAGAGUGGAAGCUAGAAGAAGAAGGGAGGUGAAUUUUUGGGCCAAUUUUUUAAAAAAAUUUCUAGCCUGCAAGACCUUUUUGUUGGGCCUUUUUUUUUGUUUUUAAAUAAGCCCAUUUUCAUGGUAUAUCUUAUUUGGUGAAAUGAUUUCCCGGAAACCCAAUCAGAUAAUCAACCCUAUCCCUAUGUUUCUCUCUCUCUGUCUCUCGCUACCGCCCUUGAGGCCAUCGAUUUGACGACACCAAGUUGUCUUCAACCUUGUCCUUGUGAGUUGUACUUGCUGCCGCUGAGUCGCCAACGCCGGGCCUUCACUCUCCGCCACCGCUGAUGUAGCCUGUAAGCCUUUCUGUCUCUGUUUUUUUUUAGUUCAUUUUUUAUGCCAUUUUUAUUGGGGAAUAAUUUAUGAUUUUGAUUUAUGCUUUAUGAUUGUGAGCUUGCUGAGGUUUAUAAUUUAUGAUUUCUUAUAGUCAUUAUAAAAUAUGGAGAUUUAAGUCACUGAACAUUGAUUCUGUGAAAAUUUUUGGAUGAUUUUCUGUAAAUUUUUGGAGGCUUGGUAUUUUAAUACUUGUGGAUGAUUCUUGUUGAAAUUAUGCCCAUGUAUUAUGAAUUUUUAAUAACCGAUGACUCUUCCAGCUGCUUUGAUUGGCACUGCCAUUAGCAUAAUUGGGAACUAGAGUGAGAAAUAGUAACAACAGCCAGAGAAGUAGGGACUAAAAAGCGGACUAAAAAAAUCACUGCAGUCGAU